Long non-coding RNA from Malaya genurostris, 2461 nucleotides. RefSeq lists it as uncharacterized. The transcript has 6 exons. NCBI's taxonomy places the organism in Eukaryota, Metazoa, Arthropoda, Insecta, Diptera, Culicidae. The record is from RefSeq and is a predicted model, not a curated record.
UAUGCGCUUCAUAAAUUGCUCCAAUGUAUGUUUUGCGGAUAUCUAGUAAUGAUUAUAAGACGCGCCAAUCAAUUUGACUCAGACUGGAAAUUUCAUUCGUUAUAUGGAAAUCCUGUAAAAAUAACGUUAACAAGAGUUUUAUGUUUCAUAAGAUUAUCUCAUAUAUUUGACAUGAUGUUGAACACAUCUUGUAACUAUUAUUGGAAGUGCCAAUAGUGCAAAAUCAUUAGAAUAUCAUAUAAUGUGAAAAAGAAAAUUUAGCUCAGUGUGGAAUUAGAUGACGGAAGUCAGCGGCAUACAUCGGAAUUCGAAUUCAACUCAUCACUCUUCAUCACUAACGCUUUCAUAAAAGGUUCUUUUCAGAGCCAUCAUUAUUUUAUUAUAAAAAACUAUACUGGUUAUUUCAUAAUAUUUGUGUUUCAGAAUGUUAAAUGUAACUAAUCUGUACUUUAGUUUAGGUGCAUCGUUUCAAAUUCUACAUACAAUUUCAUACAAUUGAUAUUCGGAAGUAUUAAGGAACAUGUCAAUUGUUUUCGUAUUCACGACAUCCAGUUAUGUCUCUUACAUUACCCAUCUGCCUUUUUUCCGCUUACAAUUUUCUGUGAAUCCGUUGAACCAUUCUCCGUCGUUGUUAAGUGGCGAUCAAUGUCCCCAGUUAGUCAAUACAUCCGCGAUAUUGAGUUUAGUUGGAACCCAACGCCAAUCAGUUACUCUAGUUAGUUCCAGUAUUUCUCCAAUUCUGAAAGCAACGAAUUGAUUGAAUUUGUACUGAUCUGACUGCAGCCAGCUGCACACCGAACGAGAGUCCGUCCACAACACACACCGCUUGAUUUCUGUAGAGAGCAUUUCUAGAACCGUUUGACUCAGUCGAGCACCGAGUACUGCCGCCAAUAAUUCCAGUCGAGGAACUGAUUGUCGUUUCAGGGCAGCAACUUUCGCCCGAGACAUAACCAAGCUACAUAGUACUUUCCCAUGGAUUUCCGCGCGCAGCCAUAUGCCAAUUCACUGGCAUCAGUGAAGAUAUGGAGUUCUAGUGAAUCAACGGCGAUGAUGGAGCGUUUCCGAUAAAGCAUUGUGUGAUCCGAACUGCUUCUAUUUCUGGCAGUAGACCAGUGCAGCGCUUCCAUAAUCUCCAGCUCUCGUCGUCGAUUUCAUUUGAUGCUGAAUUAUUAUUUUUCCGUGGAUUGUGAAGUGUGACAGCAGCACCAUCGGGUCGAAAAAUCCCAUCACGCAGCUUAGCGCAAGUUGCUUCGUUGGCCGUUUUCCAUCGUACAGAUAUGCCAGCAUUUCCGGUCGGUGCAACGUUGAGAAAGAGUAUUCGUCCAAGUCUGGAUCCCAAAUGACACCAAGAACACCCAUUUUCGAAUUUCAAAUCCACCAUGUUUGUGUAUCAGGUGUACUUGCUUCGCUAUAUUUACCGCCUCUUCAAUAGUGUCGACGCUGUCGAAGUAAUCAUCGACGUAAUGACGAUGGAUGAUUGCCGACGCUGCUCGUGGGAUAUUGAACUGCGUGUUGUUCCGCAUUUAUGUUCUUGACAUACUGCGCCGAACUUGGAGAGCAAGUGGCGUCAAACGUAGCAUCAUUCAUAACGAAAAUGUUGGUGGUACGUUUCACGGAGAUCGCCACCGAACGCUAUCCGUCGCUCUCGAAACCCUACAAUCACUUUCACUAGCGGAACCAACAGGUCGGGCCCUUCAACAGCUGCAGGUUGAGAGACACUCCCUGCACCGUAGCUGCAGCAUCCCAUACUAGACGAAUCAUGCCUGGUUUUCUGGGAUUUGUCACCGCGUUUAACGUUUGUUUUUCAGGUUUCGGUAAAGCAGUCAAAGUCUGGUACAACUCACACGGUGUAGCUGCAAGUAAGUUGGGAAGCGAGUGUCAUAUUCGUUGAUGGCAAACGAACCAACUUCGGCUAUACCGGUCAUCUGAAUCCAGUUUCGGAAGAAUUGAAAAUUAUUAUUCAAAACUGCAAAAAGGAUCUCACUCACUUUACUUCAAGAUGGCCUAAUCGAUGAUCACAAAUUUGUAUGUUUAAAGCAAAAGUCCUACAGUUGCAUAUGGAGUUCCGAAAUUUGUUGUGGAUACUACUUCCGGUUCCAGAACUACACAUUCUCCAAAUGGUGAUGACACAAUUUACUGGAUCCGUCAAAGAUACAUAACGAUGGUAUGUAUCGUGAUUACUAUAUAUGUGAAAUUCAAAAUUAGGCAGUAAGUAAGUAAUUAAUUUAUAAAUCAGAAAUAAAUUCUAAGGGUCUAAACGAUGAAAAAUAUCAUCAUUUGUGAGAAUUUAUCGUGCAACAGUUAUCGUGUAACAAAAUAAAUUCAAAUUUUUUGCAUGAUAAAAAGCAUCAUUCGAACAAAAUUUUGUAAUUUUCUCGUGGAAAAAUAUAAAGAAAUAAGUCCGUGAAGAGGCAUUUUUGAGAACGCUUCUUAAAAAUUAUGAUUUGCGGUGUCCACUGUA